UACGGGGGGGGCAAGCGUUGCUCGGAAUUACUGGGCGUAAAGGGCUCGUAGGCGGCCAACUAAGUCGGAUGUGAAAUCCCCAGGCUCAACCUGGGAACUGCAUCCGAUACUGGAUGGCUUGAAUCCGGGAGAGGGAUGCAGAAUUCCAGGUGUAGCGGUGAAAUGCGUAGAUAUCGGGAGGAACACCAAUGGCGAAGGCAGCUUGCUGGGACGGUACUGACGCUGAGACGCGAAAGCGUGGGGAGCAAACAGG
RNAcentral lists this ribosomal RNA (253 nucleotides) under uncultured bacterium. Its description in RNAcentral is "partial 16S ribosomal RNA". It matches the Rfam family "Bacterial small subunit ribosomal RNA", at positions 524 to 776 of the family's 1533-position model. The record is from RNAcentral.